CAAAAUGAACAUCCCAAUGCCAGGAGACAGAAGAAACCCAGCUGGGAUAUCACAGCCUGGACUUGUGACUGUCACAUCAAGCUGCUUACAGGACACUCUGCUCCAGAGUCCUUUGAAGGAACUCCAGCUCUGUACCUUUUGGAUUUCCUCCAGAAAUCCACAGGAGGAACAGGGAGAGCUCAAGUUACAGCUCCAGUUCCCAAUAUUCCACCCAGAUGAAAAUGUCCAGGUUAAAAGACCAAGCUGGGCCUCAGUAUCACAACUUCAGCCAAGGAAAGGAGAUCAGAGACAUCCUUGCCUCUUCAGUCCCUAAUUAACUUCUGUUGGCAUCCUCAUAAAAUUAAUUACUGUGCAUCCUCAAAAAGCAAGGCACAGAAGUGUUGGAUCCUCCUGCAAUGAAAUCCUUGGCAUCCAUACCACUGGCCAUAAAUCUUGGGAACAAAUUCCUUGGGAUUUAACUCCUACUUUGAGCCAGACUGGAGUUCCCCAAGGACAGUGCCUGUCAGGAGCUUGACAUCACAAAUUGCACAUGGUUAUGAAAAUGGAAACAACUUCAAGAAAAGCCAAUGUUGUUUGUUGGGCUUUUUUUGUUGAGAUUUCUCAAGACAUUCAGUUUAAGGCCAAUUCAUACAUCUGGGCUGAUUCCUCCUUUAUCCAAACCUGCCUGACCUAAGCACAGAUCCUAUUUUCAAUCACUUCAGAAGAAGGAAGCUCAAGUCCAACAGCCACAUUAAAAACCACAAAACAUGUUA
Molecule: long non-coding RNA, 752 nt
Organism: Agelaius phoeniceus (red-winged blackbird)
Lineage: Eukaryota; Metazoa; Chordata; Aves; Passeriformes; Icteridae
Source: RefSeq, a predicted model, not a curated record